AUACAGAGGGUGCGAGCGUUAAUCGGAAUUACUGGGCGUAAAGCGCGCGUAGGCGGCUUAUUAAGUAAGAUGUGAAAUCCCCGGGCUCAACCUGGGAACUGCAUCUGAUACUGGUAAGCUAGAGUUUUGGAGAGGGAAGUAGAAUUUCAGGUGUAGCGGUGAAAUGCAUAGAGAUCUGAAGGAAUACCAGUGGCGAAGGCGACUUCCUGGCCAAAAACUGACGCUGAGGUGCGAAAGCGUGGGUAGCAAACGGGAUUAGAUACCCCGGUAGUCC
This 274-nucleotide ribosomal RNA is filed under the name uncultured bacterium. Its description in RNAcentral is "partial 16S ribosomal RNA". It matches the Rfam family "Bacterial small subunit ribosomal RNA", at positions 523 to 796 of the family's 1533-position model. The record is from RNAcentral.